RNAcentral lists this small nucleolar RNA (128 nucleotides) under Myotis davidii. The record is from RNAcentral. Lineage: Eukaryota; Metazoa; Chordata; Mammalia; Chiroptera; Vespertilionidae.
CUGAAAAUUAAAUGUGUAGAUAAGAGUUUAAAAAUUACAGUGAACCAGGUUUGCUAAAGUAAUUUUGGUGAUAGAAAUGUAUUAGCCUCAGAAGCUACUGAGGUGGUUCAUUCUAUCCUAGUACAGUG